This 378-nucleotide ribosomal RNA is filed under the name uncultured eukaryote. RNAcentral describes it as "partial 18S ribosomal RNA". It matches the Rfam family "Eukaryotic small subunit ribosomal RNA", at positions 592 to 976 of the family's 1831-position model. The record is from RNAcentral.
CAAUAGCGUAUAUUUAAGUUGUUGCAGUUAAAAAGCUCGUAGUUGGAUUUCGGGUGGGACGCAGCGGUCUCGCAUUGCGCUUGUACUGCUGCAGCCCUCCUUCUUGCCGGGGGCGGCCUCUCGGACUUCACUGUCUGGGGGUCAGAAUCGGCGAUGUUACUUUGAGUAAAUUAGAGUGUUCAAAGCAAGCUUACGCUCUGAAUAUAAUAGCAUGGGAUAACACGACAGGACUCUGGCCUAUCGUGUUGGUCUAUAGGACCAGAGUAAUGAUUAAGAGGGACAGUCGGGGGCAUUCGUAUUCCGUUGUCAGAGGUGAAAUUCUUGGAUUUACGGAAGACGAACAUCUGCGAAAGCAUUUGCCAAGGAUGUUUUCAUUGA